Molecule: ribosomal RNA, 441 nt
Filed under: uncultured bacterium
Lineage: Bacteria
Description: partial 16S ribosomal RNA
Rfam family: Bacterial small subunit ribosomal RNA
Source: RNAcentral
CCUACGGGUGGCAGCAGUGGGGGAUAUUGCACAAUGGGGGGAACCCUGAUGCAGCGACGCCGCGUGGGUGAAGGAGUGCUUCGGCAUGUAAAGCCCUAUCGGCAGGGAAGCAGCAAGACGGUACCUGACUAAGAAGCCCCGGCUCACUACGUGCCAGGCGCCGCGGUACUACGUAGGGGGCGAGCGUUAUCCGGAUUCACUGGGUGUAAAGGGAGCGUAGACGGCCAUGCAAGCCAGGGGUGAAAGCCCGGGACCCAACCCCGGGACUGCCGUUGGAACUGGGCGGCUAGAGUGCGGGAGGGGCAGGCGGAAUUCGUGGUGUAGCGGUGAAAUGCGUAGAUAUCAGGAGGAACACCGACGGCGAAGGCGGCCUGCUGGACCGCGACUGACGUUGAGGCUCGAAAGCGUGGGGAGCGAACAGGAUUAGAUACCCCUGUAGUC